This 509-nucleotide unclassified non-coding RNA is filed under the name uncultured Glomus. Its description in RNAcentral is "SSU rRNA". It matches the Rfam family "Eukaryotic small subunit ribosomal RNA", at positions 569 to 1082 of the family's 1831-position model. The record is from RNAcentral. Lineage: Eukaryota; Fungi; Glomeromycota; Glomeromycetes; Glomerales; Glomeraceae.
AGCAGCCGCGGUAAUUCCAGCUCCAAUAGCGUAUAUUAAAGUUGUUGCAGUUAAAAGCUCGUAGUUGAAUUUCGGGAUCAGUACGCCGGUCGUGCCUUCGGUAUGCACUGGUGUCACUGGUUUCUCCCUUCUGAAGAACCAUCAUGCCAUUCAGUUGGUGUGGCGGGGAAUCAGGACUGUUACUUUGAAAAAUUGAGUGUUUAAAGCAGGCUCGCGCUUGAAUACAUUAGCAUGGAAUAAUGAAAUGGGACGUUUGACCCUAUUUUGUUGGUUUCUAGGAUCGACGUAAUGAUUAAUAGGGAUAGUUGGGGGCAUUAGUAUUCAAUUGUCAGAGGUGAAAUUCUUGGAUUUAUUGAAGACUAACUACUGCGAAAGCAUUUGCCAAGGAUGUUUUCAUUAAUCAAGAACGAAAGUUAGGGGAUCGAAGACGAUCAGAUACCGUCGUAGUCUUAACCAUAAACUAUGCCGACUAGGGAUCGGAUGAUGUUAAUUUUUUAAUGACUCAUUCC